CCUACGGGGCGCUGCAGUGGGGAAUAUUGGACAAUGGGCGAAAGCCUGAUCCAGCCAUGCCGCGUGUGUGAAGAAGGCCUUCGGGUUGUAAAGCACUUUCAGUGGGGAAGAAAGCCUUGGGGCUAAUACCCUCGAGGAAGGACAUCACCCACAGAAGAAGCACCGGCUAACUCCGUGCCAGCAGCCGCGGUAAUACGGAGGGUGCGAGCGUUAAUCGGAAUUACUGGGCGUAAAGCGCGCGUAGGCGGUCUGAUAAGCCGGUUGUGAAAGCCCCGGGCUCAACCUGGGAACGGCAUCCGGAACUGUCAGGCUAGAGUGCAGGAGAGGAAGGUAGAAUUCCCGGUGUAGCGGUGAAAUGCGUAGAGAUCGGGAGGAAUACCAGUGGCGAAGGCGGCCUUAUGGACUGACACUGACGCUGAGGUGCGAAAGCGUGGGUAGCAAACAGGAUUAGAUACCCGGGUAGUC
Molecule: ribosomal RNA, 465 nt
Filed under: Vreelandella stevensii
Lineage: Bacteria; Pseudomonadati; Pseudomonadota; Gammaproteobacteria; Oceanospirillales; Halomonadaceae
Description: partial 16S ribosomal RNA
Rfam family: Bacterial small subunit ribosomal RNA
Source: RNAcentral